Molecule: ribosomal RNA, 822 nt
Filed under: Triticum aestivum (bread wheat)
Lineage: Eukaryota; Viridiplantae; Streptophyta; Magnoliopsida; Poales; Poaceae
Description: partial small subunit ribosomal RNA
Source: RNAcentral
CCCCGCACGUCCUCGCUCGUCGUCUCCGCCUCGGCUUCCCCGCCGCGGUCGCUCGACGCCCUGAUCUUCGACUGCGACGGCGUCAUACUGGAGUCGGAGCACCUCCACCGGCAGGCCUACAACGACGCCUUCGCGCACUUCGGGGUCCGCUGCCCGCCCGCGGCCGACGCCGACGCGCCGCUGUUCUGGGACGAGGCCUUCUAUGACGACCUCCAGAACCGCAUCGGCGGCGGGAAGCCCAAGAUGCGAUGGUACUUUGGAGAAAAUGGGUGGCCUUCUUCAAAGAUAUUGGAGACAGCACCUUCAAGCGACGAAGACAAGGAGAAGUUAGUUGACGUUAUUCAGGACUGGAAAACAGAGAGGUACAAAGCAAUAAUCAAAUCUGGAACUGUGGAGCCUAGACCUGGUGUUUUGCGGCUGAUGGACGAAGUUAAGGGUGCGGGCAUCAAGCUUGCAGUUUGCUCUGCGGCAACUAAAAGUUCAGUGGUGUUGUGUCUUGAAAAUCUUCUUGGACUUGAAAGAUUCAAUGGUCUGGACUGCUUCCUCGCUGGCGAUGAUGUUAAAAUGAAAAAACCCGAUCCAUCGAUAUAUAUUACAGCAGCAAAGAAAUUAGGAUUGGAAAGCAAGAACUGCCUUGUGGUAGAAGACAGUGUCAUUGGACUACAGGCAGCAAAAGGAGCAGGGAUGUCAUGUAUAAUAACAUACACACCUUCAACUUCUAACCAAGAUUUCAAGGAUGCAAUUGCAACCUAUCCUGAUCUCAGUAAUGUGAGGCUUGAGGACCUGAAGCUACUGCUCCAAGAAUCUCUCGUCACUGGAUAG